This 322-nucleotide ribosomal RNA is filed under the name uncultured eukaryote. RNAcentral's name for it is "partial 18S ribosomal RNA". It matches the Rfam family "Eukaryotic small subunit ribosomal RNA", at positions 1470 to 1796 of the family's 1831-position model. The record is from RNAcentral.
CCCUUAGAUGUUCUGGGCUGCACGCGCGCGACAAUGACGUUUGCAACGAGAUACGAGACCGAAAGGUUAAGUUGAUCUAGCAAGCUGCGUCGUGAUAGGGACUGUCGAUUGCAAUUAUUCGACACGAACGAGGAAUUCCUUGUAAUCGCACAUCAUCAAUCUGCAUUGAUUACGUCCCUGCCCUUUGUACACACCGCCCGUCGCACCUACCGAUUGGAUGGUCCGGUGAAGCCUCGGGAUUGUGGUUCUUGCCGCUUUAUUGUGGCGUGACCGCGAGAACUUGUCUAAACCUUAUCAUCUAGAGGAAGGUGAAGUCGUAACA